CCACGGGGGGCGCAAGCGUUAUUCGGAAUUAUUGGGCGUAAAGGGCGCGUAGGCGGUCUUGUCGGUCAGAUGUGAAAGCCCAGGGCUCAACCCUGGACGUGCAUUUGAAACAGCAAGACUUGAGUACGGGAGAGGAAAGCGGAAUUCCUGGUGUAGAGGUGAAAUUCGUAGAUAUCAGGAGGAACACCGAUGGCGAAGGCAGCUUUCUGGACCGAUACUGACGCUGAGGCGCGAAGGCGUGGGUAGCGAACAGGAUUAGAUACCCUAGUAGUCC
This 274-nucleotide ribosomal RNA is filed under the name uncultured bacterium. RNAcentral describes it as "partial 16S ribosomal RNA". It matches the Rfam family "Bacterial small subunit ribosomal RNA", at positions 523 to 796 of the family's 1533-position model. The record is from RNAcentral.